GACGUAGGGCGCGAGCGUUGUCCGGAUUUAUUGGGCGUAAAGAGCUCGUAGGCGGCUUGUUGCGUCGACUGUGAAAACCCGCGGCUUAACUGCGGGCUUGCAGUUGAUACGGGCAGGCUAGAGUUCGGUAGGGGAGACUGGAAUUCCUGGUGUAGAGGUGAAAUUCGUAGAUAUCAAGCAGAACACCUGCGGCGAAGGCGGCCUUCUGGACGAUGACUGACGCUGAGACGCGAAAGCGUGGGGAGCAAACAGG
This 253-nucleotide ribosomal RNA is filed under the name uncultured bacterium. RNAcentral's name for it is "partial 16S ribosomal RNA". It matches the Rfam family "Bacterial small subunit ribosomal RNA", at positions 524 to 776 of the family's 1533-position model. The record is from RNAcentral.